UAUGUAUGUCUCUGUAUGUAUGUAUGUAUGUCUCUGUAUUUAUGUCUGUAUGUCUCUGUCUGAAUGUAUGUCUCUGUAUGUAUGUCUCUGUAUGUAUGUAUGUAUGUCUCUGUAUGUGUGUAUGUCUCUGUAUGUAUGUCAGUAUGUCUCUGUUUGUAUGUAUGUUUGUCUCUGUAUGUCUCUGUAUGUAUGUCUCUGUAUGUAUGUCUCUGUAUGUAUGUAUGUCUCUG
This is a non-coding RNA of Pelobates cultripes (western spadefoot toad), 230 nucleotides long. The record is from the annotation of a GenBank genome assembly. Lineage: Eukaryota; Metazoa; Chordata; Amphibia; Anura; Pelobatidae.